Long non-coding RNA from Chelonia mydas (Green sea turtle), 2874 nucleotides. RefSeq lists it as uncharacterized. The record is from RefSeq and is a predicted model, not a curated record. Lineage: Eukaryota; Metazoa; Chordata; Testudines; Cheloniidae. The transcript is spliced from 3 exons.
GCACCUGACCAAAAGGACCAAUGGUGAAAGAAGAUACUUUCAAAUCUGGUGGGGAAGGGGGAGGCUUUGUUUGUGCUCUUUGUGCUGGGGUUUUCUCUCGGGACUGAGAGGGCCAGGCAGAAAUCCAUCUCCUCCAAACAAUCCUGAGUCCCUUAUAGAAGAGACAGUGCUUCCAACGGGAGAGUUCCACUGGACCUGCAAAUACUCAUCUAUAGACUCUCCACGCAAAGAACACUUCCUGCAGCUUAUUCUGCUCUGGGGCUUUCGUAUCUGAAGUUUGGCAGUUAUUUUAAUCUGUAGACAGUGGGAGGUGGAUGCCACUGAAUUCUGUCCAUGAAUUCAUCAGAACCUACAAAAGGCACAUACAGAUUUCCUCUUGAAGGGCUAAAUCCAAGGACCCCACUUGAGUAAUGAGCUGUGCAAUAGGUAUUUCUAUCAGGGGAAAGGAAGGAAUUCUUCUCCACAAGCCUUGGAGUGGCUAAGGAUCUGUUUAGUGGGAGUUUCUUCAGACCAAUGCUGAGGAACUUUCUCUAGCUCCAUUGUGUUCCUGCUGCAGAGGAAAGACUAGAUAAGCCAUGAAAUGGUGAAUCCUCUAGUUCUUCCCAUCAUUUGCUCAGACCCGCUCCAUUCUCACAUGCCCAUGCACUGCCACACAAUUAGGACAGGCUGAAUGUGCAGGGCAGGCACCUCCAAAUCCAGCCAACCCUUUCAGAGCAGAAUUGCACUGGUUCACUUCAAGCGGGACUUUUGUGGCAGUGGAGGCCACAGUGGCAUCUAAACAAAGACAAGGCUUUCUUUCCUGUAUCACUCAGCUGCUACCAAAAUGGGGAUUCAGCUGUAGUACAGUGAAUACUGGGAAAAGGUAGUAUAAGGAUUUUGCAUGACCUUUAAAAUGCUAUGGGAUGGUGGGGGUAUCCAUGGUCUGACCAUGUGAGAGGCUCAGCACCCGCAACUUUCACUGAUUUCACUGACAAUGUUCACCCUUCCAGAGGAUCCAGCCUGCAAAGGACUUGCAGAAUGAGGUCCCUAGUACCUGGAUCAUCCAUUUAGCUUGGUCUAAGCUCCCUCAAAUAUUGCAGAUUGAAAGCCCGAAUGAGAUUCAAAUGCUGUUGGGAUCACAUUCAACACAGGAGAGACUGUCAAGAAAACAAAGAAAGGAGAAGAGAGAAAAAGACCAGUGAAAAUACGAUGAUAGAUGGCAAAGGGGGGGACACAAGAGAGGGAGAAACCAAAUAAGAGAGAGAAAAUGAAGAGAAGAGAGAGAAAAAUUCUAACAAAAUGAAACACAAUAUACAUACAAACAGAGAGGGAAGCAGGGGGCAGCACAGCUCCCCCUCCUCUGCCUGGUUUGGGGAAGCACAACUCCUCCUCUUCCUCGGCUUCCUUUAACCACUGCAUGCAAAUAUAUUUGAUAUGCAUUUAAGACAAUGACCAAUAAAAGAGAGAAAAAAGAUGGGUAACAGAUGAAUCUACAAGUAUGAUCGUUAAUGCCAGCCUUUCUCUGAGAGUGUAAGCAAGUGGACAUUAGUGGGACAUUCUUCUAGCCUUAAGAGACGGCAUCUUUUUGAAUGGAAUUUUUUUAAUUGAAUCACAAAUGUAAAACAUGGAGGAAAAUGUGUAAUAAUGUAGAUUCUAAGGCCGAAGGGUCCACUGUGAUCUUUUAUUCUGUAUAACACAGGUCAUAGACUUCCCAAAAUAUAAGAAGUUUUGAAUGUGUUAAUUACUUUUGCAUGCCCUUCAAACCAGUUUGAGAAGGUACCAAAAUCUCAAGCUCCCUAAAACUUACCUAUCUCUACCAGCAACAAAAACAAAGGGAAACAUGCAGGAAAUUAAGUUAGUCAUUUUAUUUUAGUGUCAUUUGACUUUAUUAUCGAUCAGUCUUACAGUAUCUGUUGGGUCUUAGAAAUCAAGUGCUAAAUGAAUCCUGAAUGUUGUGCUGUUAUCUCAUUUAAAAGGAUCCAUUCUAGUGUCAUUGUCAAAGCAAAAUGAUAUGACGCACCCAUGUACAGUUAUAUUAUGAAACUUCAUUAUCUUGUGACUCUCAAAAAUGUCCAACUAACAUUGAAAUUAACAGGCAUAAUCAGAAAGUUUUAUUUAUUCUGCAAUAUUCUGGUUUGGGGAUGGACAGUUGUCACCAGGUAUUGUUUAAAUAAUAUAAGGAAUUUCAUGGCUAGACUAUUAGAACAGUAUACAUUAAUGCAAUUGUGGUAAUAAUAAUAAAAAAAAUAAGAAAAGAUGUUAAUCUGAGAGCAAUUUUGCACAUACAAGGUCCUCUCUCCCUUAAAGAGAUGAAAUUGUGAGGGGCUAGAGGUUUCCAAAUAAUCUCCAUCUCAGUGCAUUGUCUAUUCAUGUGCUAAGCAGGAUGCUUUUAGUCUUCUAUAUGUGAUUUUUUCCAAUGUAUUUGUCAAGGCAUUUGAGAAGAUUGUAUUUUUUACAGUGUUUCUAAUCUUUUAAAUCAAAGGGAAAAGGGAGAAAAGAAGCAAAGGUUAAGAAUUUGAUAUCCCUAGUAGUGAAAAUAUAUCCUGCUUUGGGAAAAAACUCUGUGAAAUGAGCUGUCAGAAUUUACCUUCUCUCUAGCUGCUACAUUGCACGGGUGUGAAGAGAGCUAGAGCGGCCGCUGAUGCUUUCCUUAGAUUCCAAUGCACCUAAUCGUAUUUUCAAUACCGUACUUUUUCAUCACUGCAGGAGAUGACAGAAUUUUGUGACAAUUCUGGGAAAUGCUUUCUGAUGGUCCCUUCUAUGAAUUAUGAAUAUUUCACAAAAGCACCACAGUAAAUGAAAUAGGUUUGUUCUUCACAGACCUAAGAGCUGGUUAGCAGUUAGUUUCUCAGUUUCUUAUACUUUAGCUCUGAUGUUAUUACUAUUAAGAUACCA